Molecule: ribosomal RNA, 795 nt
Filed under: bacterium enrichment culture clone IsoM-50
Lineage: Bacteria
Description: bacterial SSU rRNA
Rfam family: Bacterial small subunit ribosomal RNA
Source: RNAcentral
AGAGUUUGAUCAUGGCUCAGGACGAACGCUGGCGGCGUGCUUAACACAUGCAAGUCGAGCGGGGAGAGAUUUUCGGAUUUCUCUUUAGCGGCGGACGGGUGAGUAACACGUGGGUAACCUGCCUCAAAGAGGGGGAUAGCCUUCCGAAAGGAAGAUUAAUACCGCAUAAUAUCAGGGAGCUGCAUGGCAUUCUGAUCAAAGGAGCAAUCCGCUUUGAGAUGGACCCGCGGCGCAUUAGCUAGUUGGUGAGGUAACGGCCCACCAAGGCGACGAUGCGUAGCCGACCUGAGAGGGUGAUCGGCCACAUUGGAACUGAGACACGGUCCAGACUCCUACGGGAGGCAGCAGUGGGGAAUAUUGCACAAUGGGGGAAACCCUGAUGCAGCAACGCCGCGUGAGUGAUGAAGGCCUUCGGGUCGUAAAGCUCUUUGAUCAGGGACGAUAAUGACGGUACCUGAAAAACAAGCCACGGCUAACUACGUGCCAGCAGCCGCGGUAAUACGUAGGUGGCGAGCGUUGUCCGGAUUUACUGGGCGUAAAGAAUGCGUAGGUGGAUAUUUAAGUGGGAUGUGAAAUCCCCGGGCUCAACCCGGGAACUGCAUACCAAACUGGAUAUCUGGAGUGCAGGAGAGGAAAGCGGAAUUCCUAGUGUAGCGGUGAAAUGCGUAGAUAUUAGGAGGAACACCAGUGGCGAAGGCGGCUUUCUGGACUGUAACUGACACUGAGGCAUGAAAGCGUGGGGAGCAAACAGGAUUAGAUACCCUGGUAGUCCACGCCGUAAACUAUGGGUACUAG